GUGAAGAUGCAGUGUACCCGCGGCAAGACGGAAAGACCCCGUGAACCUUUACUAUAGCUUGACACUGAACAUUGAGCCUUGAUGUGUAGGAUAGGUGGGAGGCUUUGAAGUGUGGACGCCAGUCUGCAUGGAGCCGACCUUGAAAUACCACCCUUUAAUGUUUGAUGUUCUAACGUUGACCCGUAAUCCGGGUUGCGGACAGUGUCUGGUGGGUAGUUUGACUGGGGCGGUCUCCUCCUAAAGAGUAACGGAGGAGCACGAAGGUUGGCUAAUCCUGGUCGGACAUCAGGAGGUUAGUGCAAUGGCAUAAGCCAGCUUGACUGCGAGCGUGACGGCGCGAGCAGGUGCGAAAGCAGGUCAUAGUGAUCCGGUGGUUCUGAAUGGAAGGGCCAUCGCUCAACGGAUAAAAGGUACUCCGGGGAUAACAGGCUGAUACCGCCCAAGAGUUCAUAUCGACGGCGGUGUUUGGCACCUCGAUGUCGGCUCAUCACAUCCUGGGGCUGAAGUAGGUCCCAAGGGUAUGGCUGUUCGCCAUUUAAAGUGGUACGCGAGCUGGGUUUAGAACGUCGUGAGACAGUUCGGUCCCUAUCUGCCGUGGGCGCUGGAGAACUGAGGGGGGCUGCUCCUAGUACGAGAGGACCGGAGUGGACGCAUCACUGGUGUUCGGGUUGUCAUGCCAAUGGCACUGCCCGGUAGCUAAAUGCGGAAGAGAUAAGUGCUGAAAGCAUCUAAGCACGAAACUUGCCCCGAGAUGAGUUCUCCCUGACUCCUUGAGAGUCCUGAAGGAACGUUGAAGACGACGACGUUGAUAGGCCGGGUGUGUAAGCGCAGCGAUGCGUUGAGCUAACCGGUACUAAUGAACCGUGAGG
Molecule: ribosomal RNA, 869 nt
Filed under: Escherichia coli
Lineage: Bacteria; Pseudomonadati; Pseudomonadota; Gammaproteobacteria; Enterobacterales; Enterobacteriaceae
Description: partial 23S ribosomal RNA
Rfam family: Bacterial large subunit ribosomal RNA
Source: RNAcentral